GUAAGGAGCGGUGGACUGGUUACGAGUGAGAAUGUUGGCAUCAGUAGCGAGAUGUGGGUGAGAAUCCCACAGGCCGAAAACCUAAGGUUUCCUCAGGAAGGUUCGUCCGCUGAGGGUUAGUCGGGACCUAAGCCGAGGCCGAAAGGCGUAGGUGAUGGACAACUGGUUGAUAUUCCAGUACCACUACCAUCGUUAUUAUCGAUGGCGUGACGCAGGAGGAUAGUGUGUGCUAGCUAUUGGAUGCUAGUCUAAGCGUUUAGGCAGUGAGAGUAGGUAAAUCCGCUCUCAUAAUGCUGAGGCGUGAUGGGGAAGGUUCCACGGAACCGAAGUACAUGAUUCCACGCUGCCAAGAAAAGCGUCUAGAGAGAGAAGUAGUGCCCGUACCGCAAACCGACACAGGUAGGUGAGGAGAGAAUCCUAAGGCCGGCGGAAGAAUUACAGUUAAGGAACUCGGCAAAUUGACCCCGUAAGUUCGCGAGAAGGGGUGCCUACGAGAGUAGGCCGCAGAGAAUAGGCCCAAGCAACUGUUUAGCAAAAACACAGGUCUCUGCUAAAGCGUAAGCUGAUGUAUAGGGGCUGACGCCUGACCGGUGCUGGAAGGUUAAGGGGAACACUUAGCGCAAGCGAAGGUGUGAACUUAAGCCCCAGUAAACGGCGGCCGUAACUAUAACGGUCCUAAGGUAGCGAAAUUCCUUGUCAGGUAAGUUCUGACC
RNAcentral lists this ribosomal RNA (713 nucleotides) under Clostridium perfringens. RNAcentral describes it as "bacterial LSU rRNA". It matches the Rfam family "Bacterial large subunit ribosomal RNA", at positions 1263 to 1988 of the family's 2925-position model. Lineage: Bacteria; Bacillati; Bacillota; Clostridia; Eubacteriales; Clostridiaceae. The record is from RNAcentral.